Molecule: small RNA, 727 nt
Filed under: Vigna angularis var. angularis
Lineage: Eukaryota; Viridiplantae; Streptophyta; Magnoliopsida; Fabales; Fabaceae
Description: Non-protein coding transcript
Source: RNAcentral
GGAUAUUUUAAUAGAUUUGUUUUCCUAUAUAAAGGGGCCAUCAGAACCAAUAACGUCAAGCAAGUAAGUUGUUCAGUCAGCUGUGGUUGUACGUACGUAAAGAAGAAAAUGAGUGCUGCUGUUCCUAAGUUUUUGUACUUGGUUCUACUUCUGUGGGGAACUUUUUGUGCUUCGAUGAGUGGUGUUAGUCAUGGCAUGUAUGUUGAUGGUAGAAAUUAUGCUGAUAAUUAUUGCUCGUAUACAAGUUGGAGGGGUUGCGGCAGUUUCUUUGGAAAAGGCGGUAGCGAUUCUAAGAACGAUGAACAAAAUGUACAAGUUGGUAGGGGUUAUGGACAAGGUGGAGGUGAGGGUGGAGGUGUUGGUGAAACUGGUGUAGGCUAUGGUCAUGGUAGUGGAUUUGGUGCUGGGGUAAGGGUUGGGCACGAUGGAGGAGGAGGUGGAGGCGGCGGUGGAGGAGGAGGCGGAGGCGGCGGCGGUGGCUCAAGUCAUGGUGGAAUAGGUCAAGGUAGAGGGUUUGGUGCUGGCUUUGGUGUAGGCGGGGCUAAUGGAGGACAGGGGGGUGGGGGAGGAGGAGGUGGCGGUGAAGGGGAAGGAGUUGGAAAUGAAGGACAAGGACGUGGCAGUGGUUUUGGCUCAGGUGGAGGAGUGGGAGGCAUAGGAGGAGGUGGAGGUGAAGGUGAAGGAAUUGGCAACCAAGGACAAGGUCAUGGUAGUGGUUUUGGUGAAG